RNAcentral lists this ribosomal RNA (497 nucleotides) under uncultured bacterium. Its description in RNAcentral is "partial 16S ribosomal RNA". It matches the Rfam family "Bacterial small subunit ribosomal RNA", at positions 28 to 507 of the family's 1533-position model. The record is from RNAcentral.
GAUGAACGCUGGCGGCGUGCCUAAUACAUGCAAGUCGAGCGAACAGACGUGGAGCUUGCUCCUCUGACGUUAGCGGCGGACGGGUGAGUAACACGUGGAUAACCUACCUAUAAGACUGGGAUAACUUCGGGAAACCGGAGCUAAUACCGGAUAAUAUAUUGAACCGCAUGGUUCAAUAGUGAAAGACGGUUUUGCUGUCACUUAUGGAUGGAUCCGCGCCGCAUUAGCUAGUUGGUAAGGUAACGGCUUACCAAGGCAACGAUGCGUAGCCGACCUGAGAGGGUGAUCGGCCACACUGGAACUGAGACACGGUCCAGACUCCUACGGGAGGCAGCAGUAGGGAAUCUUCCGCAAUGGGCGAAAGCCUGACGGAGCAACGCCGCGUGAGUGAUGAAGGUCUUCGGAUCGUAAAACUCUGUUAUUAGGGAAGAACAAAUGUGUAAGUAACUAUGCACGUCUUGACGGUACCUAAUCAGAAAGCCACGGCUAACUACGUG